This 709-nucleotide ribosomal RNA is filed under the name uncultured bacterium. Its description in RNAcentral is "bacterial SSU rRNA". It matches the Rfam family "Bacterial small subunit ribosomal RNA", at positions 615 to 1325 of the family's 1533-position model. The record is from RNAcentral.
UGGGAACUGCGUUNUGAACUGGGUGACUAGAGUGUGUCAGAGGGAGGUAGAAUUNCACGUGUAGCAGUGAAAUGCGUAGAGAUGUGGAGGANUACCGAUGGCAAAGGCAGCCUCCUGGGAUAACACUGACGUUCAUGCCCGAAAGCGUGGGUAGCAAACAGGAUUAGAUACCCUGGUAGUCCACGCCCUAAACGAUGUCGGUUAGCUGUUGGGCAGCAUGACUGCUUAGUAGCGAAGCUAACGCGUGAAAUCGACCGCCUGGGGAGUACGGUCGCAAGAUUAAAACUCAAAGGAAUUGACGGGGACCCGCACAAGCGGUGGAUGAUGUGGAUUAAUUCGAUGCAACGCGAAGAACCUUACCUGGUCUUGACAUGUGCGGAACCCUCCAGAGACGGAGGGGUGCCUUCGGGAGCCGUAACACAGGUGCUGCAUGGCUGUCGUCAGCUCGUGUCGUGAGAUGUUGGGUUAAGUCCCGCAACGAGCGCAACCCUUGUCAUUAGUUGCCAUCAUUAAGUUGGGCACUCUAAUGAGACUGCCGGUGACAAGCCGGAGGAAGGUGGGGAUGACGUCAAGUCCUCAUGGCCCUUAUGACCAGGGCUUCACACGUCAUACAAUGGUCGGUACAGAGGGUAGCCAAGCCGCGAGGUGGAGCCAAUCUCACAAAACCGAUCGUAGUCCGGAUUGCACUCUGCAACUCGAGUGCAUGAAG